UAAACUCCUGUUGUUGAGGAAGAUAAUGACGGUACUCAACAAGGAAGUGACGGCUAACUACGUGCCAGCAGCCGCGGUAAAACGUAGGUCACAAGCGUUGUCCGGAAUUACUGGGUGUAAAGGGAGCGCAGGCGGGAARACAAGUUGGAAGUGAAAUCCAUGGGCUCAACCCAUGAACUGCUUUCAAAACUGUUUUUCUUGAGUAGUGCAGAGGUAGGCGGAAUUCCCGGUGUAGCGGUGGAAUGCGUAGAUAUCGGGAGGAACACCAGUGGCGAAGGCGGCCUACUGGGCACCAACUGACGCUGAGGCUCGAAAGUGUGGGUAGCAAACAGGAUUAGAUACCCUGGUAGUCCACACCGUAAACGAUGAUUACUAGGUGUUGGARGAUUGACCCUUUCAGUGCCGCAGUUAACACAAUAAGUAAUCCACCUGGGGAGUACGACCGCAAGGUUGAAACUCAAAGGAAUUGACGGGGGCCCGCACAAGCAGUGGAGUAUGUGGUUUAAUUCGACGCAACGCGAAGAACCUUACCAAGUCUUGACAUCCCUUGACGAUGCUGGAAACAGUAUUUUUCUUCGGAGCAAGGAGACAGGUGGUGCAUGGUUGUCGUCAGCUCGUGUCGUGAGAUGUUGGGUUAAGUCCCGCAACGAGCGCAACCCUUAUGGUCAGUUACUACGCAAGAGGACUCUGGCCAGACUGCCGUUGACAAA
RNAcentral lists this ribosomal RNA (710 nucleotides) under Faecalibacterium prausnitzii. Its description in RNAcentral is "bacterial SSU rRNA". It matches the Rfam family "Bacterial small subunit ribosomal RNA", at positions 426 to 1162 of the family's 1533-position model. Lineage: Bacteria; Bacillati; Bacillota; Clostridia; Eubacteriales; Oscillospiraceae. The record is from RNAcentral.